Non-coding RNA from Cinara cedri, 695 nucleotides. NCBI's taxonomy places the organism in Eukaryota, Metazoa, Arthropoda, Insecta, Hemiptera, Aphididae. The record is from the annotation of a GenBank genome assembly.
GUCCCGUACACCAGCGGCCUAAUACGCACGUGGCGUGAAAUAUGUCCGGGUUUUUUUUUUUUUUUUCAUAAUCAUUUUACUGUCGUAUAUUUUACAGUACCCCGGUGUCAGCUGACCCAUCUUGGCGCGUUACAUUCGAUAAAUAAUAUAUAGAAAUGUGUCCGACCAACGUGUCGUGUGAACGCACGUAAUUCGCACGUGACGACUUAUUCGUCCGUUACAUAUAAAGUUUAAGCGGGACGACAUUAUUAUUAUUAUUAUUAUUAUUAUUAUUAUUUUUUUUUUUUUUUUUUGUUGUUGUCGUUGUUGUUAUUCGGCUGUUCUUAUAUAGCGACGACUUUGCGACUCCGCUUCGGUUAAUAAAUAACCGAGUAGUGACGCGGUGACGCAUUGCUUUCGCGCCGGAGUAAUGAAAAAGUAAUAACCAAUUUAGUUUCCGCGCGACUGCAUUGUGUGUAUAAAGGUGGGCACUGUUACAGACGCCGUGGCCACUGUUUAAAACCGCGCGAAACAUAUUAUCAUCAUUACCGUUAUAACAUUAUAAUAUAUACGAUCGAUAAAAGAGGUUAUUAAAACGUUGUUCCGCCGAUAUCGUUCUACGGGUUCGGUUGUACCCGGUCCGCGUCUUGCAGUUCGACUCGGUACAACGAAUUUGCAUACGUAAAUAAAAGUUUGUCGGUGACAAAUCGUAAAAC